GUGAGUCAUCGAAUCUUUGAACGCACAUUGCGCCCCUUGGUUAUUCCGAAGGGCAUGCCUGUUCGAGCGUCAUUAUCACCCCUCAAGCCCCGGCUUGGUGUUGGACUUUAGUUAUAGCGUUGUCUAUCAACUGGUCUCAAAGAUAGUGACGGCGCCCCAGAGGGAACCGGGUACGAGGAGCUUUUUAUUAAGCAUGUACCUGGGAGGACUCUGAUGGGCGACGGCCUUGUUAUACUUUUUACCUAAGUGUUGACCUCGGAUCAGGUAGGAAUACCCGCUGAACUUAAGCAUAUCAAUAGC
This 300-nucleotide unclassified non-coding RNA is filed under the name uncultured Ascomycota. RNAcentral describes it as "sequence contains 5.8S rRNA gene, ITS2". The stretch from base 1 to 72 matches the Rfam family "5.8S ribosomal RNA", at positions 84 to 154 of the family's 154-position model. The record is from RNAcentral. Lineage: Eukaryota; Fungi; Ascomycota.